CAGAUGUCUUGCAAUGUGGUCGAGAGUUCUUCUCAACAAUCGAUGGGGGCUGUUCCAGAACUGUCUGAGUCGAAUGACUUUAGCUGCAAACAAAAACUCCCACUAUUUUGGGAGCAGCUGUCAGCAAACCUGAGAUCCAACAGCACGGAGGCUGUUCCAUCUAAUUUUGUGGUUAGGGAUCUUGUAAUGCCCCUGCCGACCGUCACGUGUAGCUCAGAUCGACAUCAGGCUGGCUGCUUGAUGUUCGACAUGCUGGCUGUGGAAAUCUAUGACAGCUUGAAACUGAAGACAAUUUUCG
Long non-coding RNA from Pollicipes pollicipes, 298 nucleotides. RefSeq lists it as uncharacterized. The record is from RefSeq and is a predicted model, not a curated record. NCBI's taxonomy places the organism in Eukaryota, Metazoa, Arthropoda, Thecostraca, Pollicipedomorpha, Pollicipedidae. The transcript has 3 exons.